GAGUUUGAUCUUGGCUCAGAUUGAACGCUGGCGGCGGGCCUAACACAUGCAAGUCGAGCGGAUGAAGGGAGCUUGCUCCUGGAUUCAGCGGCGGGCGGGUGAGUAAUGCCUAGGAAUCUGCCUGGGUAGUGGGGGAUAACGUCCGGAAACGGGCGCUAAUACCGCAUACGUCCUGAGGGAGAAAGUGGGGGAUCUUCGGACCUCACGCUAUCAGAUGAGCCUAGGUCGGAUUAGCUAGUUGGUGGGGUAAAGGCCUACCAAGGCGACGAUCCGUAACUGGUCUGAGAGGAUGAUCAGUCACACUGGAACUGAGACACGGCCCAGACUCCUACGGGAGGCAGCAGUGGGGAAUAUUGGACGAUGGGUGAAAGCCUGAUCCAGCCAUGCCGCGUGUGUGAAGAAGGUCUUCGGAUUGUAAAGCACUUUAAGUUGGGAGGAAGGGCAGUAAGUUAAUACCUUGCUGUUUUGACGUUACCAACAGAAUAAGCACCGGCUAACUUCGUGCCAGCAGCAGCCGACCG
This 521-nucleotide ribosomal RNA is filed under the name uncultured microorganism. Its description in RNAcentral is "bacterial SSU rRNA". It matches the Rfam family "Bacterial small subunit ribosomal RNA", at positions 9 to 524 of the family's 1533-position model. The record is from RNAcentral.